This 301-nucleotide ribosomal RNA is filed under the name uncultured bacterium. RNAcentral describes it as "partial 16S ribosomal RNA". It matches the Rfam family "Bacterial small subunit ribosomal RNA", at positions 509 to 809 of the family's 1533-position model. The record is from RNAcentral.
CAGCAGCCGCGGUAAAACGAAGGGGGCAAGCGUUGUUCGGAAUUAUUGGGCGUAAAGGGUGCGUAGGCGGCUUGACAAGUCUUGUGUGAAAUCUAUGGGCUCAACCCACAGUCUGCACGGGAAACUGUCGGGCUUGAGAAUGGGAGAGGUGAGUGGAAUUUCCGGUGUGGCGGUGAAAUGCGUAGAUAUCGGAAGGAACACCUGUGGCGAAAGCGGCUCACUGGACCAUUUCUGACGCUGAUGCACGAAAGCUAGGGGAGCAAACAGGAUUAGAUACCCCCGUAGUCCCUGUCUCUUAUAA